UAAUACGAAGGGGGCUAGCGUUGCUCGGAAUUACUGGGCGUAAAGGGCGCGUAGGCGGAUCGUUAAGUCAGAGGUGAAAUCCCAGGGCUCAACCCUGGAACUGCCUUUGAUACUGGCGAUCUUGAGUAUGAGAGAGGUAUGUGGAACUCCGAGUGUAGAGGUGAAAUUCGUAGAUAUUCGGAAGAACACCAGUGGCGAAGGCGACAUACUGGCUCAUUACUGACGCUGAGGCGCGAAAGCGUGGGGAGCAAACAGGAUUAGAUACCCUGGUAGUCCACGCCGUAAACGAUGAUUGCUAGUUGUCGGGCUGCAUGCAGUUCGGUGACGCAGCUAACGCAUUAAGCAAUCCGCCUGGGGAGUACGGUCGCAAGAUUAAAACUCAAAUGAAUUGACGG
This 395-nucleotide ribosomal RNA is filed under the name uncultured bacterium. RNAcentral's name for it is "bacterial SSU rRNA". It matches the Rfam family "Bacterial small subunit ribosomal RNA", at positions 521 to 916 of the family's 1533-position model. The record is from RNAcentral.